Molecule: transfer RNA, 51 nt
Filed under: Sicarius rupestris
Lineage: Eukaryota; Metazoa; Arthropoda; Arachnida; Araneae; Sicariidae
Description: tRNA-Leu
Source: RNAcentral
UUAGACACAUUGGCAGACAAAUGCGAUAGAUUUAGAAUCUACUUACACUUA